GCCUUUUCUUUUAAAUUGACCCAGAAAGACCCUUAUAUAUGAUCUCUCUGUCGCCACCUUUUAAAAAGUAGAAAUUGGAGAACAACAGUAACUUAAUCGCAUUCUGCAGAAGAUGCAAGCAUGUACCUUGCUGAGAUGCCUGAUGUGAACUCUAGUCUCCAUGCUUGGUCCUAUCAAAAGAUAAGUUUCUGAAAAAGAAAAACUGACAAAAUGUGCAUGAAGUCGUCAGUGUUAUAAUGAACUAAAAAAAUGAAAGGAAGGUGAAUCAGUAAUUCAGCAUUGUAGCUCAAAAUCUAAGGUUGAAUACAUAUAGUACAUACAAAGUAUCUGAGUUUAAAACUAGCCAUUGAGCGACCACGCUUACAAGUAUCUCACUGUCACACAUGCUGUUAGAGUUAGCAAUUGGAUCAUACAGCAUUUUGGUAGGAUGAGUAAAACUGCAUAGAGUUUCCAAUCGAAAAAGUCGGAACUGUCAUAAUUCAUUUACCAGCAGAAGUACUUAGAUGAAACAAAAUCUCCAAUAUACUUCAUUUCAAAAUGUCACGAGUAAACAAUCCAUUA
Molecule: long non-coding RNA, 561 nt
Filed under: Cicer arietinum (chickpea)
Lineage: Eukaryota; Viridiplantae; Streptophyta; Magnoliopsida; Fabales; Fabaceae
Description: long non-coding RNA (CARI_LNC001565)
Source: RNAcentral